This 569-nucleotide long non-coding RNA is filed under the name Medicago truncatula (barrel medic). RNAcentral's name for it is "long non-coding RNA (MTRU_LNC000957)". The record is from RNAcentral. Lineage: Eukaryota; Viridiplantae; Streptophyta; Magnoliopsida; Fabales; Fabaceae.
ACCAGUUCAUAAACCACCAAGAUAUCCUCCUAAACCAUCACCUUGUCCACCCCCAUCAUCAACACCAAAACCACCUCAUCAUCCCAAACCCCCAGCAGUACACCCACCACAUGUUCCAAAACCACAUCCACCUUAUGUUCCAAAACCACCAAUUGUUAAACCUCCAAUAGUACAUCCACCUUACGUACCAAAACCCCCAGUUGUGAAACCACCACCAUAUGUCCCUAAACCACCUGUUGUGAGACCACCCUAUGUUCCUAAACCACCAGUUGUACCUGUAACACCACCUUAUGUUCCUAAGCCACCAAUUGUUUUCCCACCACAUGUUCCUCUACCUCCAGUUGUACCAUCACCACCACCUUAUGUACCAACACCUCCAAUUGUGAAACCACCAAUUGUUUUUCCACCACAUGUUCCUCUACCUCCAGUUGUGCCUGUAACACCACCUUAUGUGCAACCACCACCUAUUGUAACUCCACCAACACCAACACCUCCAAUUGUGACACCACCAACACCACCUAGUGAAACACCUUGUCCUCCACCACCACUUGUACCUUAUCCACCACCAC